RNAcentral lists this ribosomal RNA (373 nucleotides) under uncultured bacterium. RNAcentral's name for it is "bacterial SSU rRNA". It matches the Rfam family "Bacterial small subunit ribosomal RNA", at positions 521 to 896 of the family's 1533-position model. The record is from RNAcentral.
UAAUACGAAGGGUGCAAGCGUUAUCCGGAUUCAUUGGGUUUAAAGGGUGCGUAGGCGGGGCAAUAAGUCAGUGGUGAAAUCCUGCGGCUUAACCGUAGAAUUGCCAUUGAUACUGUUGCUCUUGAGUAGGCUCGACGUGGGCGGAAUGUGCCGUGUAGCGGUGAAAUGCUUAGAUAUGGCACAGAACACCGAUAGUGAAGACAGCUCACGAGGGCCAAACUGACGCUGAGGCACGAAAGCGUGGGGAUCGAACAGGAUUAGAUACCCUGGUAGUCCACGCCGUAAACGAUGAUCACUCGUUAUUGGCGAUAUACGGUCAGUAACCUAGCGAAAGCGUUAAGUGAUCCACCUGGGGAGUACGAUCGCAAGAUUG